This 577-nucleotide long non-coding RNA is filed under the name Homo sapiens (human). RNAcentral describes it as "non-protein coding lnc-LRP5L-13:1". Lineage: Eukaryota; Metazoa; Chordata; Mammalia; Primates; Hominidae. The record is from RNAcentral.
AUACCUCUACAACCAACUGGGGCUGGAGUGGCGUUUUCCACUUUCCAAUGCCUGCCAUUUCCACCUGAAUAAUGCCCAUUAAGUUAAUGAAGUUGUGGAAAACAUUCCACAAGUGGAUGACCAAAGAUAGAGACCACCCACUUAUUCAUCUAUCAUCCAUCCAUCCAUCCUUCCAUCCAUCCAUUCACACACUCAUUGAGCACACUACUUUGUACAAGAUAAUGAAAUGAAUAAGAAGCCAUAUCCACCCACCUUCCAGAAUAAUCAAGCAAGGGAAACAAGUAAAAAGACAGCUGAAGCCUAGUAUGAUCAGGGCUUUCAUAAAGAAGCUUAUAGAAAUCCAGAAGAGAACCAAAAUUAAUAAGACAACAAACUUGUUUUGUUCAUCAUUGUGUUCCUAGAAUAUGCUAUAAUGCCUAGCAUAUAGUAAAUGCUCAAUAACUUCCACUGGAAAGGUGGAUAGUUGAAUGGAUAGGACGUUUGACUAGAUGAUAGAGAAGUGGGUGCAUGGGUGGAUGAAUGCAUGGAUUGAUAUAUAAAUAAGUGGUAGGGUAUAUGGAUAGGUGGGUGAGUAGAU